AUACGAACGAGAUCUAUCCUGCUAACAUCUGCUUUUUGCGGAAUUAGAAGGUAAGACUCGACGACACACAUUCGUCGGAAUUCGUUAUAUGUACUCGUUACGUAUACGCGUUUUCUACGAUAUAAUCGUGUCGUUUGUCUGCCUGUCCUCUGUGAGGCGAGAGUGCGCACACUGAUAGUUGUCUUAUACUUCCUGCUCCGUGGGCGUUUUCGCGCGUGCGUCUUCGCUCAUGCGCGCGCGCGUUUGUGUGUGUGUGUGGUGAGCCUAUACGGUGUGACUGCGUGCGCGCGCUCUCUCUCUCGCGUGUGUGUUGUGGGUGUUCGUGUGUUUGCGUUUGCGUGUUGGCACGGGGGUUUGACGCAUACAGUUGUUUCUCUAGCCCGGAGGAACGAAAUAUUUUCUUAGAGGUAUCGACGACUCUUUAGAGUCGUAAGAAAGAGAGAGCAAUAACAGGUCUGUGAUGCCCUCAGAUGCCCCGGGCUGCGCGCGAGUUACAAUGCCGGGUCUAAUGGGUGUUGACUCCUUUUAAGAGUAUACUCCUUCUCCGAGAGGAGCGGGUAAUCCCUAAAACCCUUUCAACGCGGCGUAUACGUUACGCUUAACGGCGUACGAGUAUGCGUUUUAAGUGGCUCGAAUGGGCCUGGGGCUUGCUAAAGUAUUUCCCGUGAACGAGGAAUGCCUCGUACUGGCCCAUCACCCAUCCGUCCGGAUUGAGUCCCUGCCCUUUGUACACCCCGCCCGUCGCUACUACCGAUUGAGCGUACCGGUGAGAAUCUGGGAGUAGAGCAAAGUUUUUUUUAGCUUGCGCUAGACCAAGAGAUUCCAACCGGGCACUUAGAGGAAGUAAAA
This 849-nucleotide ribosomal RNA is filed under the name Leucothoe toribe. RNAcentral describes it as "partial 18S ribosomal RNA". It matches the Rfam family "Eukaryotic small subunit ribosomal RNA", at positions 1328 to 1787 of the family's 1831-position model. Lineage: Eukaryota; Metazoa; Arthropoda; Malacostraca; Amphipoda; Leucothoidae. The record is from RNAcentral.